Molecule: RNA transcript, 3745 nt
Organism: Felis catus (domestic cat)
Lineage: Eukaryota; Metazoa; Chordata; Mammalia; Carnivora; Felidae
Gene: METTL25
Gene name: methyltransferase like 25
Exons: 17
Source: RefSeq, a predicted model, not a curated record
AUGGCGGCUUCUUUUCCGCUCCCAGUGACCCAGGACCUGUCCACGUUGCGUGCCAAGUUGCAGGGACUGCUGCAGUUCCUGAGACAAGCCCUGUCCAUUUCCAGUGCACAUACGGUGGACUUCUACACUGAGUCCGUGUGGAAGCAACUGGUCGACUUGCCCCCGGAGACCGUGCUGAGGGUGCUGAGGCGGUCAGCGGCCGAGGCGGAGGCUCGGUCCCCCGAGGCGCGCCUCCUGGUGGAAGCCGAGAUGGGAUCAGGUAUUGCCAGUUUUCCCCAAAUAUUUUGUGAAACUUCCCAGAAGCUAGUGAGUGUGGAAGCCUUUGCUUUGGCUGUGAGAUAUUAUUCUGUACAAAACUUGGGAAUAUGUACUCCUUUUGAACAGUUGCUUACAGCCCUUCGAGGAAAUCAAAAACAGAGAACUGGUGAAAAUGUGAAACCAGAUGAGUUUAUGAAUUUGAAAAAGUCUCAUGAAGUUCAGGUUAUGUCAGAGCUGAUCAGCAGUAUUGCUGAUUACUGUGGAAUAAAGCAGGUAAUUGACCUGGGUUCUGGAAAAGGCUACCUAAGCUCUUUUUUGUCCUUGAAGUAUGGCUUAAAAGUUUAUGGAAUUGAUUCCUCAAAUACCAAUACUCAUGGAGCUAAGGAGAGAAACAGGAAAUUGAAGAAACAUUGGAAAGUCUAUCAUACUCGGUCAAAAUUAGAUGGCAAUGGACUGGCAUUAAAAAUGGCAAAAGAAAGGAAAGUGCAAGAUGAAAUUAAAUAUAAAGUAGAUAUUGAGGGAAUAUGUAACAACAGUCCUGCAAAUCAAGGAAAGAUGUCUACCUCGGAUUUUUUGCCAGAUUUUUCGGAUUCUGUAAUUUCUAACAUUAGAACACAAAUGGAAAACCUACAUGUGUAUUCACAUCGAGAAGAAAAUUUGUGUUUUGAAAAUGCCUUUUCUCUUAUAGACCUUUUGCCUAUUAAUGCUGUAGAACCUACUUCAUUGCAAACAUCUAAGAGAAAUAUGUCUGAAGCAAAUAAAGAGAGAAGAAAAAUGAUAUCAAAGUCAAAUGAAUCAAAUAUAUACUCACCUUUAACAUCUUUUAUCACUGCUGAUUCAGAACUGCAUGAUAUUAUUAAAGACCUGGAGGAUUGUUUGAUGGUAGGCCUCCAUACUUGCGGUGAUCUUGCUCCAAAUACCCUGCGAAUAUUUACUUCCCAGCCUGAAAUCAAGGGAGUUUGCAGUGUGGGUUGUUGCUAUCACCUCUUAUCUGAAGAAUUUGAAAACCUGCACAAAGAAAGCACCCAAGACAAGUGGGGAUUUCCAAUGUGCCAUUAUUUAAAGGAAGAGAGAUGGUGCUGUGGUCGUAAUGCCAGAAUGUCAGCAUGUUUGGCAUUGGAACGGGUUGCGGUUGGCCAAGGGCUGCCUACUGAAUCACUCUUCUAUCGAGCUGUCCUUCAGGAUAUUAUUAAAGAAUGUUAUGGCAUCACCAAAUGUGAUCGGCAUGUUGGUAAAAUUUACUCCAAAUCCUCUUCCUUUCUGGACUAUGCCAGAAAGUCUCUAAAGAAGCUUGGGUUAGAUGAGUCCAAGCUGCCAGAAAAAGUUAUAAUGGACUACUACGAGAAGUACAAGCCUAGAAUGAAUGAGCUGGAAGCUUUUAAUAUGUUGAAAGUUGUUCUGGCUCCUUGUAUAGAGACACUGAUUCUUCUGGAUCGACUUUGCUAUCUGAAAGAGCAGGAAAAUAUUGCAUGGUCUGCACUUGUGAAGUUGUUUGAUCCUGUGAAAUCUCCCAGAUGUUAUGCUAUUAUUGCUCUGAAGAAGCAGCAAUGAUUUCAGUUGAAGCAAGGAAAGAGAACUGUUUAAGAAAUAAUCUGCCAUGUGAAAGAUGUGCUCUGGUAACCUGUGACCAGAAGGAACUGGAAGUCUCCAAACCUCCCCAGGUUCCAGAAACCAUCCCUAAAGCACAGGUUGUACUGUACUGAAGAAUAAUAUUUAGAAGUUUUGAGGGUCAACAUCUAGAGGAUAAAACUGAAAGCUAUUGAAAGUGAACAUGUUCAGAAGAUGCUGUGGAGGAAAGGGAGGAAAUGAAUACACUGAUCCUCCAUGGGAUAAAACUGGCCUAUCCUCUGACAGAAAAGACUAAUGCCAGGUUUCCUCAGAGAAUAAUGUGUGUGUCAAUUCCUGUGGGAAACAUUUGCUGAUAUUCUGCCCACACCUCCACCGCCACCCAAGUGAAGGUGUCAAGAACAUGAUAUAAAUCUAAAUACUUCACCACCGAACAUGUGAGAGACCUGAGAGAGCAGAAGCCAUUCUAGACGCCACGUGCUUGACUGACAAAUAGACCAAGCCGAAGUGGUUUAGAGAUCACAUCAUGUGACAUAGAUCUGCUUUGUUUCGAUAAAUAAACCUAGAACUGUUAAAAUAUGGCCGAUUACACAUUGAGAUGAGGGUGAAAUAAAGAGAAUGGAAUAUUUUCUGAGGUCAUAACAUUCAGUAUUAUUUCUACAAUUUCACUAUAAUUAACGGGCCCAGGAGCAAAUCCUUCUGCUGAUCAGGUUUGAGUUGCUCUUUUACGGUGACAAAUGAAGCACACCAAGAAAGUACAAUUUGACAUUCCCUUCAUGGCUUCUUAGAACAAUGCAUGUUGGAAUGAAGCAGAAAAUAGUGGAGUUUAAAGACAAAUUAAAAAAAGAAAAAGAGAAACAGUGACUGAAUCCAUCAAGACAAGAUUCCACUUUUGAAUGUCUACGUGCAGCUCGGCUCUUCCAUUACCUCUGCAUAAUUUUCAGCAGGGAGUUGUUAUUCUUUAAUGCAACCCUGUAUAUAAAUUAAAGAUUCUGGCUCCCUCAAGGCAAAUAUCCUGAAUUCAUCUUUACUGAAAGAGAAAAAAAAAUGUCAUACCUUCUUAAUCCAGAAGAUUGAAGGUCCCACACAGGAAUCAGUUCUUAAUGUCAUCUGGGAUGGAGUCGUAUUGACAACUAGCAGACAUUUUCCUCAUGGAGCAUGGGACUUCUUCUGAGCACCCAGUGGCCAAUCCAUAGAUGAGCUCAUCUUGUGCCUCUUCCAUCUGAGAUCCCUUCUGUCUCUGGGAAGGAGCCCCGCGCUCUUUACUCACACAGUACCAUCACCACUGAACCUGGGGGUACUCCUCUGAUGGUUUCCAUUUGCUGGAACGUUUGACACAGGAGUUGGUGCUUGUACAGAGGUGGAAGGGGGACAGGGUUGGCUGCUGGGGUCAUAGGAGGUGGUGAGGUGGGAGUAAUUAGCUGCCUUGAAUCUACACCUGGCUUUGUUUCUGUAUAGAACCUGUAUCAGUUGGAUCAGUGUGUCCUGAUUCGUGAGAUCUCAACCAUAUCAAAAUGUCAUUUGGCCCAAGUCCAGACUGUGUACUUUCAUUUCUAAUGUUCCACCGUAACCAUCUAUCACUGAGACCCAUCACGUUUCCUUUUGAUUACUCUAGCCCAGAAGAAAGCUAAAACAUUUUCUGGGAUCUCUUUUUCCCAGCCGGAGCUCUCUGCUUCAUUCGAGAACAGUUCUCAAACCCUAACCUAAAUGAUGGCCAACCAUUGCCAGCGUAUUUCGGAAAGUGGUUCUCCUUUCUCUGGAAUUUUUGUUUAUGCUAUUUCCUUACUUUCUGAUAUCAUUAAAAAUAUGUGUUUUGUAGUUUAUUUGCCUUUUUGUGGUUUUGUAGUCAAUGUGUUGGCUUGCCAUGACCUACUACAUCUUGCCUGAAAGCAGACCUAUUAAAUUUAUUUUUACAUGCUGA